GUGGGGAAUAUUGGACAAUGGGGGGAACCCUGAUCCAGCCAUGCCGCGUGUGUGAAGAAGGCCUUUUGGUUGUAGAGCACUUUAAGCGAGGAGGAGGCUACCGAGCUUAAUACUCUUGGAUAGUGGACGUUACUCGCAGAAUAAGCACCGGCUAACUCUGUGCCAGCAGCCGCGGUAAUACAGAGGGUGCAAGCGUUAAUCGGAUUUACUGGGCGUAAAGCGCGCGUAGGUGGCCAAUUAAGUCAAAUGUGAAAUCCCCGAGCUUAACUUGGGAAUUGCAUUCGAUACUGGUUGGCUAGAGUAUGGGAGAGGAUGGUAGAAUUCCAGGUGUAGCGGUGAAAUGCGUAGAGAUCUGGAGGAAUACCGAUGGCGAAGGCAGCCAUCUGGCCUAAUACUGACACUGAGGUGCGAAAGCAUGGGGAGCAAACAGGAUUAGAAACCCCAGUAGUCC
RNAcentral lists this ribosomal RNA (451 nucleotides) under uncultured bacterium. Its description in RNAcentral is "partial 16S ribosomal RNA". It matches the Rfam family "Bacterial small subunit ribosomal RNA", at positions 354 to 796 of the family's 1533-position model. The record is from RNAcentral.